GCCGUUUCCCAGAAGCCCCCGGCGCGGACUGCUUCCGGUCUGCGGGUCCCAGGAGGCGGGGCGAGGCGAAGCCCCGCGUUGCCAUGGAGAUGCGCUCCGGGCGGGGGAGGGGCGGCACGACGACAAUGACCGCUUUGAGGCUGCGCUUGGCGUCGCGCCUCUCUCCUCGGAUAGCCGGGAGUUCUGUGUUCCGCUUAAGAGGAAGAGAAAAGAAAGAGAGAAUUCUGCCAUUAAGAUCGUCUUUACGGUUUCACAAGCCCUCUCACAGGCGGUAUUCUCUCAUACGAAGCUCACAGUAACCCUCUCAAAGAAGUACUAAAAGCGAGUAUUUAUGAGGGCUUACUGCAUUGUACCAGCUACCUAUAUUGUCGUUUCACAGCAGGUGAGACGAUCCUUCAUGGGGAACUAGCACCUUUUGGCAAUUCUUGGCUUCACUGUCUACGACACAGUGAGAAGGUGGUCAUCUGCAGGCUGGGAAGAGAGCCCUCACCAGAGAACCAAAUCAGCUGGCCUCUUGAUCUUAGACUUCCCAACCGAAAUAAAUUCCUGUU
Mustela erminea (ermine) is the source of this 551-nucleotide long non-coding RNA. RefSeq lists it as uncharacterized. The record is from RefSeq and is a predicted model, not a curated record. The transcript is spliced from 3 exons. Lineage: Eukaryota; Metazoa; Chordata; Mammalia; Carnivora; Mustelidae.